GUCGAGCGAACAGAUAAGGAGCUUGCUCCUUUGACGUUAGCGGCGGACGGGUGAGUAACACGUGGGUAACCUACCUAUAAGACUGGGAUAACUUCGGGAAACCGGAGCUAAUACCGGAUAACAUUUGGAACCGCAUGGUUCUAAAGUGAAAGAUGGUUUUGCUAUCACUUAUAGAUGGACCCGCGCCGUAUUAGCUAGUUGGUAAGGUAACGGCUUACCAAGGCGACGAUACGUAGCCGACCUGAGAGGGUGAUCGGCCACACUGGAACUGAGACACGGUCCAGACUCCUACGGGAGGCAGCAGUAGGGAAUCUUCCGCAAUGGGCGAAAGCCUGACGGAGCAACGCCGCGUGAGUGAUGAAGGGUUUCGGCUCGUAAAACUCUGUUAUUAGGGAAGAACAAAUGUGUAAGUAACUGUGCACGUCUUGACGGUACCUAAUCAGAAAGCCACGGCUAACUACGUGCCAGCAGCCGCGGUAAUACGUAGGUGGCAAGCGUUAUCCGGAAUUAUUGGGCGUAAAGCGCGCGUAGGCGGUUUCUUAAGUCUGAUGUGAAAGCCCACGGCUCAACCGUGGAGGGUCAUUGGAAACUGGGAAACUUGAGUGCAGAAGAGGAAAGUGGAAUUCCAUGUGUAGCGGUGAAAUGCGCAGAGAUAUGGAGGAACACCAGUGGCGAAGGCGACUUUCUGGUCUGUAACUGACGCUGAUGUGCGAAAGCGUGGGGAUCAAACAGGAUUAGAUACCCUGGUAGUCCACGCCGUAAACGAUGAGUGCUAAGUGUUAGGGGGUUUCCGCCCCUUAGUGCUGCAGCUAACGCAUUAAGCACUCCGCCUGGGGAGUACGACCGCAAGGUUGAAACUCAAAGGAAUUGACGGGGACCCGCACAAGCGGUGGAGCAUGUGGUUUAAUUCGAAGCAACGCGAAGAACCUUACCAAAUCUUGACAUCCUUUGAAAACUCUAGAGAUAGAGCCUUCCCCUUCGGGGGACAAAGUGACAGGUGGUGCAUGGUUGUCGUCAGCUCGUGUCGUGAGAUGUUGGGUUAAGUCCCGCAACGAGCGCAACCCUUAAGCUUAGUUGCCAUCAUUAAGUUGGGCACUCUAGGUUGACUGCCGGUGACAAACCGGAGGAAGGUGGGGAUGACGUCAAAUCAUCAUGCCCCUUAUGAUUUGGGCUACACACGUGCUACAAUGGACAAUACAAAGGGCAGCUAAACCGCGAGGUCAUGCAAAUCCCAUAAAGUUGUUCUCAGUUCGGAUUGUAGUCUGCAACUCGACUACAUGAAGCUGGAAUCGCUAGUAAUCGUAGAUCAGCAUGCUACGGUGAAUACGUUCCCGGGUCUUGUACACACCGCCCGUCACACCACGAGAGUUUGUAACACCCGAAGCCGGUGGAGUAACCAUUUAUGGAGCUAGCCGUCGAAGGUGGGACAAAUGA
RNAcentral lists this ribosomal RNA (1434 nucleotides) under Staphylococcus saprophyticus. Its description in RNAcentral is "bacterial SSU rRNA". It matches the Rfam family "Bacterial small subunit ribosomal RNA". The record is from RNAcentral. Lineage: Bacteria; Bacillati; Bacillota; Bacilli; Caryophanales; Staphylococcaceae.